This 232-nucleotide ribosomal RNA is filed under the name uncultured bacterium. RNAcentral describes it as "partial 16S ribosomal RNA". It matches the Rfam family "Bacterial small subunit ribosomal RNA", at positions 333 to 582 of the family's 1533-position model. The record is from RNAcentral.
UAUUGCCUACGGGGGGCAGCAGUGGGGGAUAUUGCACAAUGGAGGAAACUCUGAUGCAGCGACGCCGCGUGAGGGAAGACGGUCUUCGGAUUGUAAACCUCUGUCUUUGGGGAAGAAAAUGACGGUACCCAAAGAGGAAGCUCCGGCUAACUACGUGCCAGCAGCCGCGGUAAUACGUAGGGAGCGAGCGUUGUCCGGAAUUACUGGGUGUAAAGGGCGUGUAGGCGGGACU